AACGAAAUAAAAAAUUGGGAACCUAACCCAGUCACUAUCAAAACAGCUAGUAGCCACUAACUUUUUGUCUUUUCAAAUCUCUAUACCAGCUUACCAACCGAUAGCAAGUUCCAAGAAAAUCUUUCAUUGCUGCUACCCUUAUCUUUUCAUAUCUUCUUUGGAGAUUUCUCAAUCCGGUUGCCUUGGCCUUCUCCCUUCUCGGUCGUGUUAGAGAUGAACGAGAUUUGCUCUCUCUAGCCAUGAACGGAGACGAUAUUUCGAGAUGAAAGGUCGUCUUCAAAACUAAGAGUUCACCUGUCAUCCCCCACAUCACCAUUCCCUAAGCCGAUCUAGAAGAUUCACCAUCAAAGGCUAUAUCAAAAUAGAUAGCUACUCUCUCGCUUCUCUCUCCCUGUCUCUGUCCACGACCAACAACUAAGAUUAUCCAAACGGUACAACAUAAUAGACGACAUUGUUUGCUGCUACUGAUAGUGAAGACCCAGGGCAUUGUAGAAAAACAUGGAUACCAUCUUCUUCCGCAUUAUGACAGCGAGGACAGAAGCUGUUUGCAACCACUCUCUUGAGUCUGAGAUUCGAUAGAGUAGGAAUAAAAUUCCAUAAGAUUCGCCAUAUAGUAAUAGUAAUUUUUUAUGGGAGAUGUAAAUUCCAUAGCUUUUUAUAGAAAUUUUUUGUUUCAGCCUGUAAUAAAUAAGAACUAGGAUCCAUACUAGCCUCUUGUAAUAGUUUAUAGGCACUUCGGACUAAAAAUUCGCCGGAAUGUUCUUCUGGCUAGACUUUAAAGUCAUCAUGUGCUUCUUUUGCCAAAGGAAUUUGCAGAAUUUUUUGUACUAUGUCCGCUCAAAAGUUCCACCGAUAUCAACUCCCGGUACCCACCGAUCGCUCCAGAUAGAAAUUUAGUCUCUCCUACCAACACGCCAGCAUAAGCCAUCUUUCAGUAACCCUUUUGCUGCCCAAAUGCUCUUCCAGGUAAGUGAAGGCCAAUGAGAAAGCCCCGUAGUACGUAUUAUCCUAGAAAGUGAAGAGAUAUUUGGUAGAUUGCCGCCGUAUAACAGCCUAAUUUUCAGUGGUGUCGGGAAUAGAGAUUUGAGAUCACUAAAUUUGACGAGUGAGUCAAAAAUUUAAUAAAUUAAUACCUAUGAGUCAAAUGUGAAUAUAGAAGUAUUUUUGAAUUAGUGAAUUUAGUGAUUUAAAAGAAUUAAUUAGGUAAAUUGGGUCGAGAAUGAGGUAUCGAGGCCUCGAAUUCAUAAACCAAGCCAUAAAUAUUUUUAGAAAUAUUUAUGGAGUGUUAGUGAGGUAGUAUUAAAAUUUCGUCAGAAAAUUUUGACUUUUGGGCGGUUAAUUAAAUAAAAAGGACUAAAAUUGAAAAAGGUGUAAAAGUUGUUAAAAGGAUUAAAUAGCUUAAUUGUCAAAUGAGGAAUGAUCUAAAGUUCAAAUAAGCCCAAAGGAGAUAUUUUGGGCGGCAAUAGCUGAGAAAAAUCAGGAAAAGGGUGAAAGAAGGGCAAAAUUGAAAAAUUGUCAAAAUUAGCUAAAUAAAAAUGGGACCAAAUUGAAAUAUCUAGAAUUCUCUUCAUUUUUCUUCAUUCUCAUCAGCCAAAACACCAUAGGAGGGGUUAUUUAAGCUGGUAUUCCAUAAUUUUUGCACCAAGUGAGUUAAUCCUUGUCUUUUUCUUAUAAUUUUUGUGUUUUUAAGACUUUUACAACUAGGUCCUACUAUUAAAUUCAUUAGUUUUUGAUUUCAUGGAUGAAAUUGAAAGUCAUCAUGGUUGAGCGUUGUAAGUUCAUGAUGAAGUAGCAUGAAAUUUAAGCUUUAAUUUGUUUAUGAGAUGAUUUUAUUAGGUAAUUUCAAUAGAAAUUGAUUUUUAGGACCUAAUUGUGAAAAUGUUUGGAAUUAAAGUCUAGUGCUAAAAUUAUAAUUCCCAAAGGUUAUAAAGCAGUUUAAAGUGAUAGAAUAAAGUGUUAAUUGAGAAAAAUCAGCUCAAUUGAGAGGCUAAUUGAGUAGGGACGAAAUUAUUAUUUAUUAAAAGCUUAGGGAAAAAUAGUAAUAAACAUCUUGCACUAAAACAGUUUUAGACAGUAGUAAUAUGCUAACUUUGAAAAAUCACCAUAAAUUGUAUAAAUUGAAUUAGAAGAUGAACAAAAUAUGGAAUUAAAGCUUAUUGAGUCUAGUUUCUCAUAGAAGAAACGGUGUAUGCAAUGGAUUGUAAAUCAUGAGAUAUAAUAAAUUUUGUGAGAUAAGGUCAGAAUGAUUUUGGGUUCCCCUAUUCUAACUUUGGAAAAUCAUAAAAAUUUUGAGAAAAAUAGUUAUGGGCUUAAAUUUAUAUUUUUAGAAUCCUGAAUAAGUCUAUUUUCAAGAUAAACAAACAAAAACAUUAUUUGAAACCUGUACAAGGAGAUAAUUAAUUUUUAGUGAAGAAGGGUAGGAACUGUCAGACAGCAAAAUAGGGGUAACUUUAAAGAAUAAAAUGUACUUAUUGGUUAAACCAAAAAUCAUGAAAAUUUUAUGGUAAGAAGAUACGAGAGUCUAGUUUCAGCAAAAAUUAUUGGAUCUUAAUUUGGAGUUCUUUAGCUAAAGAUAAAAAUAAUUUAAUAACUAUGACAUGGAUGGAUAGCAUGAAUAUUCACAUAAGUAAAUAGUGAAAAUUAUGGAUAAUGUUUGUAACAGCCCGAUUUAGGGCCUAGUCGAAACAGCGGUCUCAGGACCACAAAUAUUAAGCUAUAAAAGUAUUAUUUUAUUAUUUUUAUGAGGUUAUAGUAUGAUUUUAUUAGUGCAUGAAAAAUUUGGUGAGCUAAUUUUAAUGUUUUCUAGCCCAAUUUCGAAAAAGGACUAAAUUGCAUAAAAGGCAAAAGUUUCAUUUUAGUACCCAAAUGAGUUAAAUAGCUAAAGAACUUAAAUUGAGGGCUUUUAAAGGGCAAUUACAUCAUUUUUAUUAGUUUUGGCCUACCGUGUGAUGGGUUUUAAGCAAAUAGUCAAAGGGUUAGGUGGAUGAUGUCAUGAUUUAGUGAUAAAAUAAUGCCUAAAAGCCUAGCUAUCAUUUCUUUCUUCUCCAUCUCUCUUCUCCACCGAAAAUAUCAGCAAAAAUGGAGUUUUGAAGGCUGAAAAUUUUCAACAACUAAAAGCCCUUACAAAUCAAGAAUUACCAAAUCCGAACCUAGAUCGAGGGAAGGUCAAGCAAACCGACUAAACCGAAUAGUCGAGUACUUUUUGUGAACCGAGUGUUAUCAAGCUAACUUAAAGAUCCCUUAAAGUCAAAGAUAUCGAUCACACUAUCGGCCGCAAUACCUGGUAUAGUUGGAUUUAUAUUUUUUAUGGUGGCAUGUAUAGGGCUAGACUAGAUGUUGUAUUAAGAGAAUGGUUCAUGUAUUUUGGCUUAAGUCAAAGGCCCUUCAUUUUGUAAUCAAGCCUGGAAUAAUGGCUAUUAUUCAUUUUGAUGAAUGCAUAUAAUGUUCUUUCUAUGGAUGAA
Gossypium arboreum is the source of this 3461-nucleotide long non-coding RNA. RefSeq lists it as uncharacterized. The transcript is spliced from 8 exons. The record is from RefSeq and is a predicted model, not a curated record. Lineage: Eukaryota; Viridiplantae; Streptophyta; Magnoliopsida; Malvales; Malvaceae.